AUGAAGCAAGCAAAGGAACCGCAUGAAGCACGCCUGUCGCAACAACAGUCCCAGAAGAGCCGGCCGAAGGCGGCCUCUCAUGGGCCGCGAGGGGCGGCCUCCAAGGUCGCCGGCUCGUCCCCGGCCGUGACCAAGCCGCAGAAGAAGCCCGCGCAGCGGAACAAGCCCGCGGCCCCGCCCGCCGCCGUCGCCGAACCUCCUCCCGCCGCGCACGAGGUGUUCGAGGAAAUGGCAACCCCAUCCUCGUUCAUGGACCUCCUCCAAAACGCGGAGGUGGACCUCGGAGCUCCGCCCCUAGACCCCUUUAGGGUUGGUGACGACUUGGAGGAAAAGGAGGAAGAUGAGGAGGAUGAAGGGGAUGACGAGGAGGAGGUGGCCGAGAUAGGGGAGGAGGCAUUCACCGCCGCUUCCCGCCCACACGCACGGUCGACAAACUACACCGAGCCGGAAGAUGUCCUCUUGGUUCGUGCUUGGGCAGCUGUGGGAAUGGAUGCAACCACCGGCACCGAUCAAACCGGUAAACGGUAUUGGCAAAGGAUCGAGGACGUCUAUUGUAGGAUCAAGCCGAAGAAUAGUGGGUUCAUCCAUCGCACUUUCCGGUCGCUUCAAGGCCGGUGUGAGUUGAUCAAGCCCGCUUGUGCUCGUUGGAGUGCGGCCAUGGACCAAGUGAGGGAUGCACCACCUAGUGGAACCGUGGAGAGCGACUAUGAGACAAUUGCCGGCAUGAGGUACAAGGAGAUGGCCGCUUCCAAGGGCAAGCCAUUCCCAUUUAAGCAUGUUUGGUCAAUUCUUCAAACCUUUGACAAGUGGAAGUUGAGGGAUCAAGAGACCGCACCCAAGAAGUCGGCAAUGCUAAGGAUGGAUGAUAGUGAAGAUGGAACUUGGGCAAGCCCGAGGGAACCAAGAAGGGCAAGCUAA
Molecule: ribosomal RNA, 918 nt
Filed under: Triticum aestivum (bread wheat)
Lineage: Eukaryota; Viridiplantae; Streptophyta; Magnoliopsida; Poales; Poaceae
Description: partial small subunit ribosomal RNA
Source: RNAcentral